GCCACAGUAGCUUAAUUGGUAAAGCACGGCCAUGGUAAGGCUGAGAGCCUGGGUUCGAUCCCCAGCUGUGGCU
This 73-nucleotide transfer RNA is filed under the name Candidatus Pacearchaeota archaeon. Its description in RNAcentral is "tRNA-Thr". It matches the Rfam family "tRNA". Rfam says of the family: Transfer RNA (tRNA) molecules are approximately 80 nucleotides in length. Their secondary structure includes four short double-helical elements and three loops (D, anti-codon, and T loops). The record is from RNAcentral. Lineage: Archaea; Nanobdellati.